GCGGGUGUGAUGUAAUGGCUAGCAUCUGAGUGCGCCACACUCAGCGUAUGGGUUCAAAUCCCAUCACUCGCU
This 72-nucleotide transfer RNA is filed under the name Nostoc sp. PCC 7524. It matches the Rfam family "tRNA". Rfam says of the family: Transfer RNA (tRNA) molecules are approximately 80 nucleotides in length. Lineage: Bacteria; Bacillati; Cyanobacteriota; Cyanophyceae; Nostocales; Nostocaceae. The record is from Rfam by way of RNAcentral.